This 140-nucleotide ribosomal RNA is filed under the name Pseudomonadota bacterium. Its description in RNAcentral is "Proteobacteria bacterium (freshwater metagenome) partial 23S ribosomal RNA". It matches the Rfam family "Bacterial large subunit ribosomal RNA", at positions 2623 to 2762 of the family's 2925-position model. Lineage: Bacteria; Pseudomonadati; Pseudomonadota. The record is from RNAcentral.
GAGACAGUUCGGUCCUUAUCCACUGUGGGCGGAGGAAACUUGAGGGGUUCAUUCCUUAGUACGAGAGGACCGGGAAUGACGCACUUCUGGUGUGGCAGUUGUCGUGUCAACGGCAUCGCUGCGUAGCCACGUGCGGAAAG